CAGUCGAAACGAUACUGGAGCACUUUUUUUGCACAUACCUAAAGGAAAAUCCCAAAUAACGAGCAACUAGCGACGUUGUUUAAGUGCAAUAGAGGAACUGUACGAGACAGUUUACCCGUACACGGUGCGUUGCGGAGGGAUUUAGAAAUAAAAACCCAGUGUUGUGCAGUUGCAUUCCCGACCACUUCACUUGUGCUGGAUACGGGGAGGCUUUGACUUUUUUCAUCCCAGUUUCUGUCUCAAAACAACCGUAUUCUCGUCUAAAUCUGCUGAAGAACCUGACGGGGCAGAAGCCAUCAUCCCACAGAACAUACUAAAGGCCUGGGGAAGUCAUUAGCCACCACACACAACAGGACACUGGCCGGUGGUGGCUGGUCCCCUGCAAAAAGGUGAGGUGCCUGAGGUCCCUCCGCCCCCUCUGGACAUCGAGGUAGGGGGCCUACAGUACCUCGUAGACUGGGAGGGGUACGGUCCGGAGGAGAGAUGCUGGGUUCCGGUGGGGGACAUUUUGGACCCUUCUCUCCUGAGAGAUUUCUACCGCCUCCACCCGGAUCG
Molecule: long non-coding RNA, 555 nt
Organism: Oncorhynchus masou masou (cherry salmon)
Lineage: Eukaryota; Metazoa; Chordata; Actinopteri; Salmoniformes; Salmonidae
Exons: 3
Source: RefSeq, a predicted model, not a curated record